ACGUAGGGGGCGAGCGUUAUUCGGAAUUACUGGGUGUAAAGGGAAUGUAGGCGCCCCUUCAAGUCGCGGGUCAAAGUCCAGUCCUAACCGCUGGGGGGGCACGCGAUACUGACGGGCUUGAGGGCUGGAGAGGUGAGCGGAAUUCCCGGUGUAGUGGUAAAAUACGUAGAGAUCGGGAGGAACACCAGCGGCGCAGGCGGCUCACUAGACAGUUUCUGACGCUAAGAUACGAAAGCGUGGGGAGCAAACAG
Molecule: ribosomal RNA, 251 nt
Filed under: uncultured prokaryote
Description: partial 16S rRNA
Rfam family: Bacterial small subunit ribosomal RNA
Source: RNAcentral